RNAcentral lists this transfer RNA (89 nucleotides) under Clostridium perfringens. RNAcentral's name for it is "tRNA-Ala". It matches the Rfam family "tRNA". Rfam says of the family: Transfer RNA (tRNA) molecules are approximately 80 nucleotides in length. The record is from RNAcentral. Lineage: Bacteria; Bacillati; Bacillota; Clostridia; Eubacteriales; Clostridiaceae.
GGAAAGUUAACCAAGUGGAUUAAGGGAAUGACGGCAGUCAUAACAAACUGAAUAGUUUAGCAAGAGUUCGAAUCUCUUACUUUCCACCA